Molecule: long non-coding RNA, 292 nt
Filed under: Nicotiana benthamiana
Lineage: Eukaryota; Viridiplantae; Streptophyta; Magnoliopsida; Solanales; Solanaceae
Description: long non-coding RNA (NBEN_LNC003596)
Source: RNAcentral
UCCCACUAGUCUGAGAAGGUGGUGCUCCUCCCAAUGAAGUAGUAUUUAUAGAAGAAUUGUGUCCCAACGUCAGACUAAGAGCAGAAAAAAUAACAGAACCAGCUACCACAGUUGCAUCUUGCCCAACUUUAACAUUGCCAGACAAAUUGAAACUUAUAAUGCAGCCUUCUAUUUUUAACAUUGCCAGACAAAUUAAAACUUAUAAUGCAGCCUUCUAUCGGACAGUAAAUAGAAACCUGGGGAAGUAUCUCCAAGUUUCCAGUACCUAACACAUACAAGUCAGAAUUUAUGU